RNAcentral lists this ribosomal RNA (470 nucleotides) under Pseudomonas sp. RNAcentral describes it as "bacterial SSU rRNA". It matches the Rfam family "Bacterial small subunit ribosomal RNA", at positions 76 to 542 of the family's 1533-position model. The record is from RNAcentral. Lineage: Bacteria; Pseudomonadati; Pseudomonadota; Gammaproteobacteria; Pseudomonadales; Pseudomonadaceae.
AAGCUUGCUUCUCUUGAGAGCGGCGGACGGGUGAGUAAUGCCUAGGAAUCUGCCUGGUAGUGGGGGAUAACGUUCGGAAACGGACGCUAAUACCGCAUACGUCCUACGGGAGAAAGCAGGGGACCUUCGGGCCUUGCGCUAUCAGAUGAGCCUAGGUCGGAUUAGCUAGUUGGUGGGGUAAUGGCUCACCAAGGCGACGAUCCGUAACUGGUCUGAGAGGAUGAUCAGUCACACUGGAACUGAGACACGGUCCAGACUCCUACGGGAGGCAGCAGUGGGGAAUAUUGGACAAUGGGCGAAAGCCUGAUCCAGCCAUGCCGCGUGUGUGAAGAAGGUCUUCGGAUUGUAAAGCACUUUAAGUUGGGAGGAAGGGCAGUUACCUAAUACGUGAUUGUUUUGACGUUACCGACAGAAUAAGCACCGGCUAACUCUGUGCCAGCAGCCGCGGUAAUACAGAGGGUGCAAGCGUU